UAGUCCAUGCCGUAAACGAUGUGUACUAGGUGUCGCGGACAUUGACUGCCGCGGUGCCGUAGCCAACGCGUUAAGUGGACCGCCUGGGGAGUACGGUCGCAAGAUUAAAACUCAAAUGAAUUGACGGGGCCCGCACAAGCGGUGGAGCAUGUGGUUUAAUUCGAUGCAACGCGAAGAACCUUACCUACUCUUGACAUCCAGAGAACUUAGCAGAGAUGCUUUGGUGCCUUCGGGAACUCUGAGACAGGUGCUGCAUGGCUGUCGUCAGCUCGUGUUGUGAAAUGUUGGGUUAAGUCCCGCAACGAGCGCAACCCUUAUCCUUGUUUGCCAGCGAGUAAUGUCGGGAACUCCAGGGAGACUGCCGGUGAUAAACCGGGAGGAAGGUGGGGACGACGUCAAGUCAUCAUGGCCCUUACGAGUAGGGGCUACACACGUGCUACAAUGGCGCAUACAGAGGGCGG
Molecule: ribosomal RNA, 461 nt
Filed under: uncultured bacterium
Lineage: Bacteria
Description: bacterial SSU rRNA
Rfam family: Bacterial small subunit ribosomal RNA
Source: RNAcentral